This 249-nucleotide ribosomal RNA is filed under the name uncultured prokaryote. RNAcentral's name for it is "partial 16S ribosomal RNA". It matches the Rfam family "Bacterial small subunit ribosomal RNA", at positions 526 to 774 of the family's 1533-position model. The record is from RNAcentral.
CGGAGGAUGCAAGCGUUAUCCGGAUUUAUUGGGUUUAAAGGGUGCGCAGGUUGUUUGAUAAGUCAGUGGUGAAAGUCUGUCGCUUAACGGUAGGAUUGCCAUUGAUACUGUUAGACUUGAAUAUGGAUGAGGUAGGCGGAAUGUGUAGUGUAGCGGUGAAAUGCAUAGAUAUUACACAGAACACCGAUUGCGAAGGCAGCUUACUAAUCCAUCAUUGACGCUGAGGCACGAAAGCGUGGGGAGCGAACA